UACGUAGGUGGCAAGCGUUGUUCGGAAUUAUUGGGCGUAAAGGGCGCGUAGGCGGCUUGUUAAGUCAGCUGUGAAAGCCCGGGGCUCAACCCCGGAGGGUCAGCUGAUACUGGCUAGCUAGAGUACGGAAGAGGUAGCUGGAAUUCCCGGUGUAGCGGUGAAAUUCGUAGAUAUUCGCAAGAACACCAGUGGCGAAGGCGGCUCACUGGCCCGGUACUGACGCUGAGGUGCGAAAGCGUGGGGAGCAAACAGG
This 253-nucleotide ribosomal RNA is filed under the name uncultured bacterium. RNAcentral's name for it is "partial 16S ribosomal RNA". It matches the Rfam family "Bacterial small subunit ribosomal RNA", at positions 524 to 776 of the family's 1533-position model. The record is from RNAcentral.